RNAcentral lists this ribosomal RNA (479 nucleotides) under uncultured bacterium. Its description in RNAcentral is "bacterial SSU rRNA". It matches the Rfam family "Bacterial small subunit ribosomal RNA", at positions 28 to 507 of the family's 1533-position model. The record is from RNAcentral.
GAUGAACGCUAGCGGGAGGCCUAACACAUGCAAGCCGAGCGGUAUUGUUUCUUCGGAAAUGAGAGAGCGGCGUACGGGUGCGGAACACGUGUGCAACCUGCCUUUAUCUGGGGGAUAGCCUUUCGAAAGGAAGAUUAAUACUCCAUAACAUAUUGAACGGCAUCGUUUGAUAUUGAAAGCUCCGGCGGAUAUAGAUGGGCACGCGCAAGAUUAGCUAGUUGGUGAGGUAACGGCUCACCAAGGCGAUGAUCUUUAGGGGGCCUGAGAGGGUGAUCCCCCANACUGGUACUGAGACACGGACCAGACUCCUACGGGAGGCAGCAGUGAGGAAUAUUGGUCAAUGGGUGCAAGCCUGAACCAGCCAUCCCGCGUGAAGGAUUAAGGUCCUAUGGAUUGUAAACUUCUUUUGUAUAGGGAUAAACCUACCCUCGUGAGGGUAGCUGAAGGUACUAUACGAAUAAGCACCGGCUAACUCCGUG